CAACGAGAUUAAAAUGCAUGCUCAUAUCUUGAUAUGCCCCUGUCCUAUUUACAGAGGUGAACGUGGAUGGAGAAGUGAACAAUCUAGGUGUAUGGUUCCAGAACCCUGUGUACAUCUUAGUCAUCUGUGUUGGCGCUGUAGCCAUCUUUAUAGCUACUGUGGUACUGGUGAUCCGCUUCACUUCAAAGGCACGCGCACGUCGUCGUAAGUACGCAUUGCCUGGUCAGAAUCAGCGGCUAUCUGAGAAUGCACAGCGAUACACGCUGGACCCACAAGCAUCGGUCUACCAAGAACCCGGAAGACAGAUGUACCAGAACCCAGUGUACAACAUCGGCGAUGAAUGAGGAAGAUGGAAUCAAUGGAAACUAAUGAGUGCAAUAAUAAUAGAAUGUCGUAUCUGUUGACGUGAGCUUGAAUUGAUAAUUAGUUUGAAUUUCAAUGAUAAAGUUUUUAUGAUUGUAAUUAAAACGUUAGUGUAUUAUAUAUAACGACAUA
This is a long non-coding RNA of Branchiostoma belcheri (Belcher's lancelet), 495 nucleotides long. RefSeq lists it as uncharacterized. NCBI's taxonomy places the organism in Eukaryota, Metazoa, Chordata, Leptocardii, Amphioxiformes, Branchiostomatidae. The transcript is spliced from 3 exons. The record is from RefSeq and is a predicted model, not a curated record.